This 623-nucleotide long non-coding RNA is filed under the name Capsicum annuum. RNAcentral's name for it is "long non-coding RNA (CANN_LNC001406)". The record is from RNAcentral. Lineage: Eukaryota; Viridiplantae; Streptophyta; Magnoliopsida; Solanales; Solanaceae.
UCCUAGUUGAGAACUCAACUAUAGAACUGAUAAUUGUUCAUCUUGUCUAACAUCUCUAAUUUGGGCUAAUUAUCUUCAUUGAGAGCUACGACCUCCAGGUGUGUAAAAGCUGUCUUUGAUAUAUUCCAAAAAUUGAGCUUCUAUUUAUCACGGUAACAUUUGCAGGGCAUCAUAUUCUCUGUGAGUUGUUAUCGUAAUCAAUUUAUUGUUGAGCUGAUACUGUCAUGACUAAUGGUUUCAACACCGCCCUGUAUCAGUUAGGUGUCAGGUUCUAGUCCCACCAGAGUCUUUUUCCCCUUUUAGCUUCCAUUCCUCACUAUUCAUGGGCCCAUCCGCACCAAUUAAAAACAGACAAUAGCUUCACCAACUACUAAGAAUUAUUGACCUUUGCACUAAUAAUAUAACCUUUGGCCUUAUGUUUAAAGCUCAAAAAAAAAGGAAAAGAAAAUCGUAGGCUUUAUGAUUCAACUAAUUGCUAAAUAGUCAUACUACCUUUGGCCUUAUGUUUAAAGCUCAAAAAAAAAAAGGAAAAGAAAAUCGUAGGCUUUAUGAUUCAACUAAUUGCUAAAUAGUCUUUUUACACUAAUCCAGAUUUGUAUGCAUCCUCCGUAUAUAAUAUGCAG